This 9729-nucleotide long non-coding RNA is filed under the name Musa acuminata (dwarf banana). Its description in RNAcentral is "long non-coding RNA (MACU_LNC001198)". Lineage: Eukaryota; Viridiplantae; Streptophyta; Magnoliopsida; Zingiberales; Musaceae. The record is from RNAcentral.
UAGAUAGAUAGAUAGAUAGAUAGAUAGAUAGAGAGAGAGAGAGAGAGAGAGAGAGAGAGAGAGAGAGAGGUGUUCAGAAAAAUUCAUUUGUGGAACGUAAACUGCAACAACGUCCUCUAAUGGCCAAACUUUAUUCACCGGAAACAUUCUCCGAUGGACAGCUUCUUGCAACAUAACAGUCUCAUAUGCUUCUUGCAAGCAUCUCCUGGUACCUCCUGUACGACUCCUGCUUCUCCAGCCUAAACUUCUCAUGGCACCUCGCUAUAAACCUCUCCGCGAGCCGAUCGAUCUCGCUUCCUUCGCCCGUAUCCCCUCCCGAAGCCUCCGACUCGUCCUCGAGCCAGUCGAGGCACCCACCGAGUGGUGGCUCCGCCUCACCAGCGCUGUCCUCGGUGAAGAUCACCGUCGAGUCAUCAAACUCCGAGAUGGGAAGCUGCGGCGGCAUGGGUGUCACGCACGAGGAUGACCAGCUACGGUGCAGCUUAAAGAAGCCGAAGAGCUUCUUCUUCGUCUUCCUCAGCUUAAAGUCGCGGUUGCUGUCGAUGGCCUUCUUCUUCUUCUUAAGAAGCUCCGCGACCAUGGACUUGGCAUGGGAGAUGUGUCGAAGGAGGUAGACCUUGAGCAGGCUUCUGAUCUUGAAGGAAGUUGAGCUUGGGCAUGGCGAUUCCGCUCCCAAGCCAUAGAAAGACUGCAGGGGCUUUACACUGUAUUGCCUGGCCAUCACAUCAGGCUCAGCUACUCAGUUGGAGACCAUGGCCUUUAUAAGCAUCUUCCAAAGAGAGCUUUGUGUUCUUUCCUCAUACUUCCGAUUUGAUCCGUUCUUACAUGUCUUAAAGUUGCUUGUGAGGAUAAGAGCGAUCUCCUCUUACGUAAGGGAUCUCACGGGGAGGUUUUGUGACGACUUUUGCCACUCAAGCAAUUGGUGUUUCUGAGGAUGGGAUGUUACGUUGAAAGGAGAAGGAUGGUGUUGCGUAGAGGAUCUUUAGAACGAGGAAAGCAAAGCAAACGAGUAGUAACAUCAACACUCGGAUUUAGUGUGAAGUAUAUUAAGACUAAGAUUCAACCUAACUAUUUUAAGUCAGUAGUUCAAUUUCAAUGAAAUUAAUAUGUUAAUUAUUCUAUCAUAUCUGAUCAUGAUAUUUGAUAAGAGUUAGUUGUCUCAUCAAAUUGACAAUUGAUACAAAAAUUAAUCUAGUAUUAGAGUCAAGAUCAAAGGGCACGUCAAGACAUGAGAUCACUGCUUUAUAUAUAUCAAAUUAGAGUCUGAUGGAUGGAUGUACAUUGAUUCAAUCAAUGUGUUCAUCAUUUUAAACAUAUUAAGAGGAGGAUAUCUUGAUAUUAAAAAAAAAUAUGUUGGAAAAUAACAAUCAAAUUUUAUAAUCUUUAUCCACAUUGAUAGAGAAAAUAAUAAAUUAUCACAACAUGAAAAUAAUGAAAUCAAAAGAUUAAAACUCUCUGAUAAUAACAUUAACUUUAGAGCUUUUCUUGUGUUAAAAAAAAAAAAAGUGUCUAUCUUGCAUGUCUCAAUUCUCAAGUAUCAAUCAGCUUCACUACUUAAAAAGUCUUGUAUGCUUUAAACUAGCAGCUCUAUUCCAAAGCAAUGACAUCAUCGGAUCUCCUUACUGAGCAUGAGGUAGGUAUGCACACGAAAGCUGGGAGGCACUCACUGAGGGCUGGUUGGCUGCUCAUCCAUUUGGUGUGCAUGAGAAAGCGUGACUUGGUGAAAUGGUUGAGAUCUUCUUGUACUGAACUGACUUCAUGCAUGCAUGCAAUCAUUUACACAUGAGAGAAGAAGUUUAUACAUAUGUAAACUGGUUCAUAUAUAUGAUGGAAUUUUGUGAAGCCAUAUGAUUUCCAAUCGGAAGGUUUUAUGGCUGCUAACUUAAAGAACUAUUGUUGCAUGGAAGAUUUCUCAAAUAUGAAUCAUUUGGAAGAAUAUCAUUUUUUUUUUCGUUUUGAUUUGAUAAUAAUGAUCCAUGUGGUUCGUGGUUCAUAUAUUUUUUUCAUAUCAUAUGUAAUCCUAUAGAAAAUAAUGUCACUAUUAUUUUACCCAAACUAUGGUGUCUCAUAUGUACAUGAUCUUCAAAAUAUAAUAGAAGGAAAAAACCACCACCCCAAUGACCAACAAAAAUCUUAAAAUCCUUCCAAAAGAAAAAAAAAAUUGUUCCACCCUCCACAGCAUCAAAUCAGUAAAAAUGGGUGGAGCCACAACAAAAAGGUGGAACACAAAGGAGCAUGAGCAGUCCGGCUCGUCACAGGUGAUGUCACCCCUGGAACUUAUCAGGGUCGAACACAGCUGGCGGACGUUGUCACGUGACAUCAGGCGUGACGUUUUACUUGCCCACAGUACGAGUCCUCACACCUUCGCCCCACCCAACCCACUUAACGAUGUGGGCCCCCGAGAUUGUUUCCAUUCGUCGAAAAUAGAGCCUCUGAAUCCCAUGCACAUGGACGCAGCCCAUCACCAAAAGCUUCUUUCGGGAAGUCCCGUGACGUCCCAUGCCGCACCAACGACCAUCCACAGAGCCAUGCGCGUCUCCUUCCGGAUCAGAUGGACGGCUGAGAUCAUGGGACAGGGCCGAUGGGCAGUUUUGCCUGCGUGGAAACCGCGUCCGCAAAAGCGAGCCGCUCGAGUGUACGACGGCGGGGACCAUCCCGCAGUUAUGACAACGUAUUCUAUGACGAAGAGUAUGAACUCCACGUAAGCGUCUUCCGUGACGUGAUGUCUCUAUCUGGUGGAGGAGCCGUCAUCGCCCGCCGCUACGAGUUCCAGCGACCGGCUAUUUAAGGAGAGCGGAGGCGGGGUAGAUAAUCGAGUCAGCGAGUCUAGUCCGAGUGGAAAUCCUGGUUCCGUGGAGGAUCCUAGAACCAUCGAGGGUGUUCAUGGCGGCAGAGGUGGGAGCGAUGGAUCAGGGGAGCUUGAAGGGCAAGGUGGUGAUGGUCACCGGCGCCUCCGCCGGCAUCGGCCGGGAGAUAUGCCUCGACCUCGCCGCCGCCGGGUGCAAGAUCGUUGCCGCCGCGCGGAGGGUCGAUCGCCUCAAAUCCCUCUGCGACGAGAUCAACGGCUCCUCCAACACUGUCCAAGCCGUCGCCGUGGAGCUCGACGUCAGCCGCAAGAGCCCCGCGAUCGAGGCCGCCGUGCACGACGCGUGGAACGCCUUCGGCCGCAUCGACGCGUUGGUGAACAACGCCGGAGUUAGAGGUAAUUUUAGCCAUAACGAUUUCUGAUCGUUACACUGUCGUGCUCGAGAAAGCAUCUCCUGCAUCCCACAGCGUUCUACUGAUGUCCGCUGCGUGUGAGCUCAGGUGGCGUGUACUCGGCGGUGGACUGGUCCGAGGAAGAGUGGCACAGGAUCAUGACCACCAACCUAACCGGGCUGUGGCUGGUGUCGAAGCACGUGUGCAUACGCAUGCGAGAUGCGACGCAGAAGGGCGCGGUGAUCAAUAUCUCAUCCAUCGCCGGCGUUGCACGCGGCCAGCUGCCCGGAUCGCUCGCCUACACUGCAUCCAAGACAGGCGUGAACUCCAUCACGUGGGUGAGCUUGCCAUGUCUACUUCUCCUUCGACCGGCUUAGGAAUAAUCCAAACCGGAGAUGAGCCUCUCAGUCUCGUAAAACCUGUGCAGGUUAUGGCAUUGGAGAUGGGACGAUACGGGAUAAGAACGAACUCGGUGUGUCCUGGGAUCUUCAAGUCGGAGAUAACGGAGCGUCUCAUGGAGAAGGAAUGGAUCGGUAAAGUGGCGAGGAGGACAGUACCUUUGGGGACGUUUGGCACGGCGAAUCCUUCCGUCAUCUCGCUCAUCCGCUAUCUGGUCGAUGAUGCGUCGGAGUACGUGAAUGGGAAUGUGUUCAUCGUUGAUGCAGGUGCCACGCUCCCGGGGGUCCCCCUCUUCUCUUCCCUGUAAAUGGUGGUUUCUUAUAUGGGGCUUGCAAUAAAAAUUGAAAUAAAAAAUAUGUAUAUAUAUAUAUAUUUUUUUAUUUUUCAUGAGCAAAUAUAUAAUCUUUUCAGGGGAAAAAAUUGAAAGAGAAAACAGAGAUAAAAAUUAGAAUAGACAAAGGGCGUUGCAAAGCCUUUCUCCAAUCAGGCUUAACCAUCAGCCCAGAGAUUUGACGUUCUUUUGGGCACAGCACUUGUUUCGCCAGUACGAAUCUAAAAGCACGACACGGAAACAUCCAGAUCACUGAUCUCUCAUCUUCCGAACUCGGCUAAGUAUUCCUGUGGAUGCGAGAUCCUGUGAUCAGCGUGCGAGCUUACUAUUCAACCCACUAAUUGGCUGACCAGGUCAGCACGAUUGAGACGUCCUGGCCUCUCUUGACGUGGCCUCUACGACACCAAUGCAGGGAUUACUUCAAGUCAACGACGACGGAGAAAGACUUCGCAAGUUUCUUGCCGUCCAACAAAUAAUUCCUUUCAGUAGGCCGAUGAUCUUACCAGCGAGCAGCAGAGAAUAGAGCUCGAGAGACCGACGAAAGAUGGCGUCGCCCCCUUCUCCCUAUCUCUUGCCUUCGCUCAUCCUCACUCGCACUUUCCUCCUCGUCUUGCUACUAACCCAGACCAUCUCCUCCGCCCAGAGCUACUCCAACAUCACGCAGGGCACCACCCUCACGGCUGGCUCAUCGACCGGCUCCUGGCUCUCUCCAUCCGGCGACUUCGCCUUCGGAUUCUACCCCACCGACGCCCAAGCCUCCCUCUUCCUCGUCGCCAUCUGGUUCGAGUCCACCUCCCCCAAAGCCGUCGUCUGGUCCGCCAACCGCGACGCUCCUGUCCGAUCAGGCUCCACCCUGCAGCUGACCAGCGACGGCCGCCUCUCCCUAAAGGACGACGGCGGAAACGAAGUGUGGAGCGCGGGCCCUGCCAACGCCUCCACCGCCGCCGUCCUCGACUCCGGCAACGUCGUCCUCACUGCUUCCGGCGGCAUCUUGUGGCAGAGCUUCGAUCUUCCUACGGACACGCUCCUGCCGGGUCAAGUCUUGGGACUGGGCUCCGACCUUCGUUCCCAGCUCACCGACUCCGACUUCUCAGAUGGCCGAUUCGAGCUCGCGGCGCAAACGAGCGGCGAACUCCAGCUCCUACCGCUGGCCAUCCCCUCUGGAAACCAAUACGAUCCAUACUGGUCCAUCGACACGACCGAUUCCGGCUUUCAGCUCGUCUACAACGAAUCCGGCAGCAUAUACUUCGCUCUCACGAAUGGUACUCUGCUCAACGUAACUAUGGCUUCUGUCUAUUCCACCGAAGACUUCUUCCAACGCACGAGGCUGGAUCCCGACGGCGUCUUCCGCCAGUACAUCUACCCCAAGAGCGGCAGGGCGACCGGAUCCUGGAGUAGGAAAUGGAAUGCGGUGGCCAAAGUGCCGGCGGACAUCUGCCAAGAUCUUCAAUCCGACGGCGCUGGUAGCGGCACCUGUGGCUUUAACAGUUACUGCAGAUCCGGCGGAGAUCAGAGCGAGGUAAACUGCUUGUGCCCACCAGGGUACUCCUUCAUCGACCCGGAGCGGAAGUACAAAGGUUGCGACCAGGACUUCCCACCCAUCUGCAAACAAUACGAUCCUGCUCAGUUCAACCUGAUCCCCAUAAACAACGCCGACUGGCCCUUCUCGGAUUACGAGCACUACACGAACGUGAACGAAGACCAGUGCAGACAGUACUGUUUGGAGGAUUGCCUCUGCGCGGUUGCCAUCUUCUGGGACAGAAAGGAAUGCUGGAAGAAGAAGCUGCCGCUGUCGAAUGGAAAGCUGGGUAGCUAUAUCGACAGGACGGCACUGAUAAAAGUGUCGAAAACUAAUUAUACUUCCCUGUUGCCGCCAUCGGGUCCAGUUAUAUCUGUGGUGAAGAAGGAAAGGAAGACUUUGAUUCAGAUUGGAGCAGUGCUUCUGGGGUGCUCUGGAUUUUUUAAUGUGAUCUUCAUCGCGUUGAUCAUUGCAAAGAUCUUUGGUUCCCCUAGGGGGAGGAGUACGACGUUUCAGCCGCAGACCAGCAUGUCCGAAUUUAAUAUCAGAGUCUUUAGUUACAAGGAGCUUGAAGAAGCAACCGAUGGAUUCAAAGAAGAACUGGGAAGAGGGGCCUUCGGUUCAGUUUAUAAAGGUGUGUUGUCAUCCUACAUUAGCACUAAUAUUGCGGUGAAGAAGUUAGAUAGGCUGCUUCGCGAGAACGAGAAGGAGUUCAUAAAUGAGGUGAGAUCUAUUGGGCAGACUCAUCACAAGAAUCUGGUCAGAUUGAUUGGAUACUGCAACGAAGGGACGCACAGACUUCUGGUGUACGAGUACAUGCGAAACGGGUCGUUGAUUGGCUUCUUGUUCGGCAAUAUAAAGCUGCAUUGGCAGCAGAGGGUCCAAAUCAUAUUUGGAAUCGCAAGAGGAUUGCUUUACUUGCACGACGAGUGCAGCACUCCGAUCAUCCACUGUGACAUCAAACCUCAGAAUGUACUCCUGGAUGACAAUUUUGUGGCUAGGAUUUCGGAUUUCGGGUUAGCGAAGCUGCUGAGGGCUGACCAGACUCGAACCAAUACCGGCAUAAGGGGAACCAGAGGGUACGUAGCACCAGAGUGGUUCAAGAGCAUGGCGAUCACGAAGAAGGUGGAUGUGUACAGCUUUGGUGUGAUGAUGCUGGAGAUCAUAUGCUGCCGGAAGAACUUGGAAACAGAGAUCGGGGAAGAGGAGGAACCGGUGCUCAUUUACUGGGCUUACGAUUGUUUCAAGGAUGGGAUGGCGGAUCUUUUGGUGCAGCAUGACAAAGACGCACUGGCCGAUAUGGAGGAGGUGGAGAGGUUUGUGAAAAUAGCGUUUUGGUGCAUCCAAGAGGAUCCGUCGCUCAGGCCUUCGAUGCAGAAGGUGACUCAGAUGCUGGAAGGAGCAGUUGAAGUUUCUCUGCCACCCGAUCCUUCCCCAUUCCUGACCACAAAUUAGUCACAGAUUUCCUGAGUGCUUGGACUUGGGUUUGCUCUUCUAAUUCUCCUGAAACCCAUGGCUGGUGCAAGAAUCGCUGCAAAGCGCAUAUUGUGGUAGCAAACCAAGUGUAUUAUGGAAACUUAUCAUAUAGCCAGCCUUCUUGUUUCUAAUAUGCCUACUGUCAGUAUACAUAGAAGUCCAGUCUGCAAGGCUCUCGCCUAUGUUGAAUUUGGGAAGCACCAAUACAUUGGUCAUAGAUAGUAUCUUGUAAUUUAAACAAGAAACCAGUGAAAUAGUUUGCUGCAUAAUUCUUCCUGAAUACACUAAUUUAUUAUUUUCUUUUUUCUUGUGGUUAAAAUAUCUAUCAAACAGGGUAGGUAAUCAAGGAUAAGGUCGUUGUGGAAUUUGGGGAGAGAAAAAGAAGCAAUGAAAAAGAGUUUCUGUAAGAGAGAGAGAGAGAGAGAACAGUUGGGAUUAAGAAAGGCAUAUCAGGUGGCGUUAAAACUUGAUUCUGAAUCUUCAGAAGUUUUUAGAUAACUAUUACCUUGUUCUUCCAUAGAGAGACUCUGCAUGCGAACAUAGAUCUACCGAACGAAUCUGAGUUUUAUAUGAUCGAUCAUAUUUCUUAUUCUUUUCUCUCUCUUUUUUUUCCUAGUUUGUGUGAUGGUUUUCCCCAUUGUAUCCAUUGCUACGACAUCUUCUACCUUAACCUUUCUAGAUCUUCACCCGCUUUAACCUUUCUCAUAAAAUCCAUGCCUACCAUUGUGCUUAAUUAAAUUUACCUAAAUUAAAAACACCCUAAUAAUGCUGCAGUUUUGCACAAAAUUACAUGUUGAAUCUAAAAAACAAAAGAAAUAUCUUUGUGAAAAUAGCAACAAAUAUUCCAAAAUGAUAAAUUCGAUAUCAUAAAUAACCCCCAACUUUUCUAGAAGCAAUUAAAGUACAUAAUAGACAAGAAAGCAUACCUUCCGCAAUGAGAUGAAUGUUCUUUAGAACUGACCGUGUACUUUUACUACAGAAAAGUCAGUUAAGAAAAGAAGCAGAUCCACUGUAAGAUAGAUAUUUCAAAUGUAAAACUGGCAGAAUAUAAAUGGAUAAAUAUACAAAGUAUCUUUUGCUGUUUAAGCAGAAAUGCAAAGACAGGAAUGCUGUAACUUUUAGCAGAGUCACAAGCCACCAUCCGAGAAGGCAGGAAAGAAAAACAUAUGAGCCCGAUUGGAGCGCAAUAGAAAAACCAUCAUUAUCUAUCACUGUUCCUCUAUCCCCUUGGAACUAUGUGCCUGGUUUCUCAUCUCAAUUCAUGAUAGAGCCCCAUGGAAACAAUUCAUGUUUAUAAACAUUAUCCAACAAGUACAAAUAUAAUCAUAGACAAUUGUAAUCUGGAAUCCUUAAAGAAAAUCUCUUUUUUUUUUUAAAAGCAGGCAGAAAAUUUAACAAGUGAAUAGUCUUCAAGCCUUCUAUUAAUGACCUAAUCAGAUGGAUGGUUCAUUACCUAAUGAUGUAAGAAGCAACCUUAGGCGACCGCAAACCUAAACAAUGAACCAAUUAUGCAUAUCGUGAUUGGUUAGCUGAGUGGCCUACCUAGUAAUCGCACUAGAAUUAUGACAUAGAAAUUUCACAUUCCAUAUAACUAUGUCCCUGAAAUUACUGAAUAAUUUAGAACAUGUUAUAUUGGAACAUCUACCGGAGGCAAAUGAAGAAGUUGAAUCUUCAAAGAUAAAUUAACUGAAGAUAACAAAUGUAAGUCCCAACCAACAAACCUAAGUCAUUGGAUAUCAUUUAAUUGCAAUAACUGAGUUCACAAUUUGCUGAAUGAACAUAUUGGAACAGGUGGUCUAAGUACAAAACAUUUCUCUUGUGAAGAGCAUGAUCUGGUGUAGAACAAGAGUGACGAUGAGGCGUAUUUAGUUCUAAUAGAAUCCUACAAUCAAGGAGUUUAUAGGAUUUCCAAUCAUCUUUAACAAGCUAUUAAUGAGGGGAUUCUAGCAAAUUUAUCAUGUGGCAGAAUCAUCGGCCUUUAAAGGAUUAAGGUCAAAAUGAUUGAUGCUACAACUCUUUCAAGGGUGGGUUAAGAUCAUCUCUCAAUUAGAGCAGAUAGCUAGAUUCCAAAGGAAUGCCAAAUUGUGGCACAUAUACUUGAUAGCAGCGAAUGUUUUAGAACCGCAUAAGAAAAUAUACUCUCCAAUCAAAUGUUUCUUCUCAGUGCCAGAAAUCCAUAGCCUCGGUCAGCAAGCAUGAUUUCCCAACAGAAAGCUGCAGAUGAAAUAGAAAGCAGUGAAAGAGAACUAGAUCAUAGAUCAACGUAGGAACCGCAAACAUGACAGCGUGCCAAUCCAAUAAGGGGGAAAGGAACAGAGAACCAAUAGAACAAACAGAGGGGUUACGGAACAAGCUCACCUCAGAUUCAGAAGCCAUCGCUCUCAAACUCACACAUCCCCGGAGCUCGUCCAGUGCCGAUCCAUGGCCGAGAAACGGCGGUCCAGGCUACCUGUCGGAGACGAGGGACAUCGGCGCGUUGCAUUAGGAUACUUGACGGAGGAUUUCGAAGCAUUAGGGUUCAUUUAGAGAUCGGAUUUAGCGGAAGAAGAGGACCGAGAGAUGAACGAUAUGGAGAUAUCUCGAGAACUCGGAAGGCGGGCACUUACCGGUUUUAAGUUUCUUUUAAGGUUAAUUUAGGACUGAUAAUAAAUUACGUUUGUAUUUAGCUACCUUCGUCAUCUCACUUUUUAUACUUUAAAAUUUUAUAUUAAAUUCUUAUAAUUAUAAAAAUAAAAUAUUUAAAUCUAUUUAUCUUAACAUCAUCAAUUUUAUCAAAUAAAAUAUGAAAACAAAUGGUAAAAGGAUG